GAUGAACGCUGGCGGCGUGCCUAAUACAUGCAAGUCGAACGAACACAUAACUAGCUUUCUCGUUUGACGUUAGCGGCGGACGUGUUAGUAAGACGUGGAUACCCUCCCUAUAAGACUCGGAUAACUUCGUUAAAUCGGAGCUCAUACCGUCUAACAUAUUGAACCGCAUGGCUCAAUGGUGUAAGGCGACUUUGCUGUCGCUUAUAGAUGAGUCCGCGCCGGAUUAGCUAGUUGGUAAGGUAACGGCUUACCAAGUCGACGAUACGUAGCCGACCUGAGAGGGUGAUCAGCCACACUGGAACUGAGACACGGUCCAGACUCCUACGGGAGGCAGCAGUAGGGAAUCUUGCGCAAUGGGCGAAAGCCUGAAGGAGCAACGCCGCGUGAGUGAUGAAGGUCUUCGGGUCGUAAAACUCUGUUAUAAGGGAAGAAAAAACGUGUAAGUAAAUGGGCACGUCUUGACGGUACCGUAAGAGAAAGCCACGGCUAACUACGUG
Molecule: ribosomal RNA, 497 nt
Filed under: uncultured bacterium
Lineage: Bacteria
Description: partial 16S ribosomal RNA
Rfam family: Bacterial small subunit ribosomal RNA
Source: RNAcentral